AUUGAACGCUGGCGGCAUGCCUUACACAUGCAAGUCGAACGGUAACGGGCCUUCGGGUGCCGACGAGUGGCGAACGGGUGAGUAAUACAUCGGAACGUGCCCGAUCGUGGGGGAUAACGAGGCGAAAGCUUUGCUAAUACCGCAUACGAUCUACGGAUGAAAGCAGGGGACCGCAAGGCCUUGCGCGGACGGAGCGGCCGAUGGCAGAUUGGGUAGUUGGUGGGAUAAAAGCUUACCAAGCCGACGAUCUGUAGCUGGUCUGAGAGGAUGAUCAGCCACACUGGGACUGAGACACGGCCCAGACUCCUACGGGAGGCAGCAGUGGGGAAUUUUGGACAAAGGGCGCAAGCCUGAUCCAGCCAUGCCGCGUGCAGGAUGAAGGCCUUCGGGUUGUAAACUGCUUUUGUACGGAACGAAAAGCCUUCUUUUAAUACAGGAGGGUCAUGACGGUACCGUAAGAAUAAGCACCGGCUAACUACGUG
This 482-nucleotide ribosomal RNA is filed under the name uncultured bacterium. RNAcentral describes it as "partial 16S ribosomal RNA". It matches the Rfam family "Bacterial small subunit ribosomal RNA", at positions 30 to 507 of the family's 1533-position model. The record is from RNAcentral.